Molecule: ribosomal RNA, 331 nt
Filed under: Tuponia sp. XML-2014
Lineage: Eukaryota; Metazoa; Arthropoda; Insecta; Hemiptera; Miridae
Description: partial 16S ribosomal RNA
Source: RNAcentral
UGGAAUGAAUGGUUGGAUGAAAAAUAUAUUUUCUUUUUUUUAAAAUUUAAAAAUUUAAUUUUUUAGUUAAAAAGCUAAGAUUAAGUUAUAAGACGAGAAGACCCUAUAGAACUUUAUUAUAUUUUUAUAUGUUUAUAUAUAGGAAAUUAUAUUUAAUAUAUAUAAAAUAUAAUUUUGUUGGGGUGACAGAAAAAAUUUAAUAACUUUUUUUAUUUUUUUCAUUAUGUAUGAAUAAAUGAUCCUUUUUUAGGGAUUAAAGAUCAAGUUACCUUAGGGAUAACAGCGUUAUUAUUUUGGAGAGUUCAUAUCUAUAAAAUAGUUUGCCACCUCG